RNAcentral lists this ribosomal RNA (1394 nucleotides) under uncultured bacterium. Its description in RNAcentral is "bacterial SSU rRNA". It matches the Rfam family "Bacterial small subunit ribosomal RNA". The record is from RNAcentral.
GUUUGAUCCUGGCUCAGGAUGAACGCUGGCGAUAUGCCUAACACAUGCAAGUCGAGGGGUCGCACUUCGGUUACGUUACGAUGGUGGGGACCGGCGCACGGGUGAAUAACACGUAUGCAACCUACCUUUCACAGGGGGAUAACCCGUUGAACCACAGACUAUCACUCCUUGACACGGGGGUCCGACAAGGGGAUAUUUGUUCUUUAUUUUGGGGUUGAAGAUGGGCAUGCAUUCCAUUAGCUAACUGGUGACGUAAGCGCCCACCGGUGCCCGGCCUGAUAGGGGAACUGACAGGUUUAUCCCCCACACUGGAACUGAAACACUACCCAGACUCCUACUCGAGGCUACUAGUGAAGUUCAGUAUUGUCCCUGGACGCAACUCGCAGCAAGCUCUUGGAGUGCAAGAAUGAGAUGGCUAUGGAUUGAUAGAUCUUCUAUGUAUUCAUGAGGGACUAUCCAGGUGGGGAGAUGCUCCUUUGCAUUCCUAGAAUACAUGCAUCCGACUAUCCGUGCAGCCCCGAUAUAGGAGGAUCCGCAGCGUAUCGUAUUUUGGGUUAAACGGGUGCGCAGGCUAGAUGUUAUCGGCGUAAAUUUGCAUUGCUCAACUGUAAAAGUGCCUUACGAUACUGCUUCUGGAGUGUGGAUGAUAGAGUCAAUUGUGAUGUACCUGGCAAAAAAAUGGUAUAUAUCACGAAACUAUUGCGCAUGCGCAGCUUACUGAUACCACUAUGACGAUCAUGCAAGCCCAGGGCGGGGAUCCAUACAGAUAGAGCAGGUGGUAGUACGCACGCAGUAACAUGAUACUAAGUGUGCGUAUCGACAUGUAGCACGAAAAGCCAUAAGUAAUCCACUGGGAUACUUGCCAGACCAUGAAUCAAGGAAUUGACGGGGCCCACACCGGAGGGACAUGGUUAAGUUGUGUAGCGGACUGUACACAGGCUUGAAUCCGGACACGGCGGAGAAUGCGCACAUCCUGUGCCGCCGUACAUGUGCUGCAGGUGGUGUCAUCUUCUGCCAGUGAGGUGCUGUAUAUGAUGUCACAUACAGAGAGCACCCCCCAUCUUUAGUUUUUAACUCGUCAAGUUGGGCACUCUAAGGAGACUGCCAUUGUCAGACGGGAGGAAGGUGGGGAUGACGUCAAAUCAGCACGGCCCUUAUGUCCGGGGCGACACACGUGUUACAAUGGGUGGUACAAAGGGCAGCUACACGGCGACAGGAAGCUAAUCUCUUAAAACAGAUUCCAUUUGGAUUGGCGUGUGCAAAUUGACUCGCUGGAGGUGGGUUCUGUUGGUAUUGGGCAUCAGGCACGGCGCGGUGAAUACGUUCCCGGGCCUUGUACACACCGCCCGUCACGCCACGGAAGUUGGGGGCACCCGAAGUCCGUGACCAACAAG